GUUACUCCUGAUUUACACCAACAUAAACAAGACCAGAAUCAAAGCCAUGCGGGAGCCCUAAGGGUAUGCUUAGAAUGGGAAGAAAAGGAAAGAACUCCACGCUAGACAAACUCACCAGCCCAGGGGGAUUCCUGGUUUGAACUGCUUGCUGUAUGACAAUCACCAGUCCUCUGGCAAAACUGCAGCAUGGAUAGCUUCAAAGAACAGUCAGUGCCAUGUGGAGAGAAGGUGCUGAGGAGCUGUGUAGAACAACAAAUUCAAAUGGAAAAUGAUUGCAAGGAGGCUUAAAGCCCACAGAGACCUAGCUGCUUCCAAAAGACUGAAAAAAAACUUUAAUAGGAAGAACCAGAGAACUGAAUGAGGCACUACUGGAACAGCUCAAUGCUUGACAGGAAAGCAAAAUGGAUCCAUACUGUGGAGUCAAUAAGAAGCACAGAAGAGCACCUCUGGGGAAAGAUUCAGAGAAUAAGAUGAUUAGAACCAUACCUUGGGGAGUUAAAGGGAGAAAUCCCCAAAUGCCUGGAGAACAAGCUGUUCCCGUCGUGAAGUACCUUAACAUCAAAGUGUGGAUGGGAAGCUCCACAGAGCUUUAGCAGAAUCUUAGAGAGACAGAAGUAGUGCUUUCUGAUAAACAAAUCACAAAACCAAAUAUAUCUACAACAGAAGUUACUGAAGUCCAACCAGUAUAUGACAGCAGACUCUUGAGAAGAACCAGAAGGGAAACCAGCUACAUAUUUUUGGUACAAAUCUACAGGAAAUGUAAGAACUAGCAACAGCUUGAUUACAGCAGUGCUAAGAAGAAAGAUCCAUCUACAGUGCAAGAUCCUCUGAAGGAGCAGCUCACUAAAAAUGCUGCAGUAACUUACUAGCAAUGCUGGAAUAAAAUUAAAAGAACAUUGACAGCCCCAGAGACUGUUUAAAUGGUGUCAGAUGGAAAUCUCUUGUUAAAGAUAAAUACUUGCCACACUGAGUUUAAUAAGUCUAACUCACUAGAGUUAUCAAUGACAUCAAGAAACAGCUCAGUUCCUUACAUAAUAUAUUAUCAAGGCAACAACAAUAAGCUUAGGAAACUGCAG
Molecule: long non-coding RNA, 1076 nt
Filed under: Gallus gallus (chicken)
Lineage: Eukaryota; Metazoa; Chordata; Aves; Galliformes; Phasianidae
Description: lncRNA (ENSGALG00010006507.1)
Source: RNAcentral